This 76-nucleotide transfer RNA is filed under the name Bacteroidota bacterium. RNAcentral's name for it is "Bacteroidetes bacterium tRNA-Gly". It matches the Rfam family "tRNA". Rfam says of the family: Transfer RNA (tRNA) molecules are approximately 80 nucleotides in length. Their secondary structure includes four short double-helical elements and three loops (D, anti-codon, and T loops). The record is from RNAcentral. Lineage: Bacteria; Pseudomonadati; Bacteroidota.
GCGGCAGUAGCUCAGUUGGUAGAGCAUUAGCUUCCCAAGCUAAGGGUCGAGGGUUCGAGCCCCUUUUGCCGCUCAA